Pelobates cultripes (western spadefoot toad) is the source of this 1817-nucleotide non-coding RNA. NCBI's taxonomy places the organism in Eukaryota, Metazoa, Chordata, Amphibia, Anura, Pelobatidae. The record is from the annotation of a GenBank genome assembly.
GUAUGGAAGAGUAUAGGGCUCUGAUCUUGCUAGAGAUUUGUUACUGCAAGUAAGUGAUACUGUUUGCAACAGGUCUAACUUAUUGGAUGCACAUAUAUAUUAAUAUACAUAAUCAGCCCCACUUUUUCAAUUUUGCAUGCUAAGUUAUCGAUUACAUGUUAAAAAUCUUCCCAUUAUCUAGUGAUCUGCAAACUGAACUUUGUCUUGUUACCUGUUAUGCACAGUAGAAACUAGUCGACUUUCCCAGCAAACAGAGCAGGUUUGUCGCAUAUUUGUAGAGUUGAGCGAACCCAGACUGUAAAGUUCGGGUUCGUACCGAACAUUACGGUUUUUGGACCCUGUACCUGAACACGGACAUAUCUAAUGGCGCGUUUUGAAAGGCUGCAGGGCAGCCAAUCAACAAGCGUUUGACUUGUGUGCUCUUAGAAGCCAUCACAGCCAUGCCUACUAAUGGCAUGGCUGUGAUUGGCCAGUGCAGCAUGUGACCCAGCCUCUAUAUAUAAGCUGGAAUCGCGUAGUGCCGCACGCACAUGAGCUUUUAUUAGUGUAGGCAGAGGAUACUGCUGCUUUUAGGGACAGAUUAGGAAAGAAUUCUGCAAACUAGUACCUUAGUGGGGUGCACUUCAUAUCUGAGAGUCAAAAAGAAGCGUCAAAUACCGCGGUUACAUCAGAGCUUUAAAAAGUAAAAAUUUUUUGGGUGCUAUGCUAAAUAGUAUAUUAGUGGGGUGCACUUCAUAUCUGAGAGUCAAAUAGAAGCGUCUAAUAGUGCGCUUACAGCGCAGUGGUAAACAUUCUAAUUUUUUUGCGCUAAUCUGCUAAAUAGUACGUUUGCGGCCUGCGGUGCACUUCAUAUCUGAGAGUCAAUAGAAGCGUCAAAUAGUGCGCUUACUGUGCAGUUGUAAACAUUCUAAUUGUUUUGCUGCUAAUCUGCUAAAUAGUACAUUUUGGGGCCUGCUCUUCAUAUCUGAGAAUCAAAUAGAAGCAUCUAAUAGUGUGCUUACAGCACAGUGGUAAAUAUUCUAAUUGUUUUGCUGCUAAUCUGCUAAAUAGUAUUUUGGGGCCUGCUCUUCAUAUCUGAGAGUCAAAUAGAAGCGUCUAAUAGUGUGCUUACAGCGCAGUGGUAAACAUUCUAAUUGUUUUGCUGCUAAUCUGCUAAAUAGUACAUUUUGGGGCCUGCUCUUCAUAUCUGAGAGUCAAAUAGAAGCGUCUAAUAGUGUGCCCACAGCGCAGUGGUAAACAUUCUAAUUGUUUUGCUGCUAAUCUGCUAAAUAGUACAUUUGCGGCCUGCGGUGCACUUCAUAUCCGAGAGUCAAAUAGAAGUGUCAAAUAGUGUGCUUACUGCGCACACCUACAACACUUGUUACACAGAUCUACGUGAUAUAAAACAGAUUGAUAUUUUCUACACUAAAUACUACCAGAUAACAAGCUGCUAUAUUUAAACCAGUUAUCAAUAGCUAAGAGGUACUUAAACAAUAUUGUAAUUCUGGGGCAAUACCCUCACAAGUCAAACUGAGAGGUCAGUUUAUAGGGGAAACUGUUGCUUGGAUACAAUUCUAAAACAAUUUCCAUAUGUCCUUUGCAGACUUUACAUGCUGGAUAAAUACAGGUGCCAACUGCUGUGGCUUUCUGCAGUGUGCAUACCUGCAAGGAGGGCAGGGUUGAGGAGUGGGUGGAAGAUGAUGUGGAGGAUGAUGAGGUCCUAGACCCCACAUGGAAUCAAGGUCAUGCGAGUGACUUGUGCAGUUUGGAGGAAGAGGCGCUGGUCGCACAGAGGCACCAGCACAGCAUAAGAAGGAGCAGGGUGCAAAAAUGGAGCG